UGGGGAAUAUUGGACAAUGGGCGCAAGCCUGAUCCAGCCAUGCCGCGUGGAUGAUGAAGGCCCUAGGGUUGUAAAGUCCUUUCGGCGGGGAAGAUAAUGACGGUACCCGCAGAAGAAGCCCCGGCUAACUUCGUGCCAGCAGCCGCGGUAAUACGAAGGGGGCUAGCGUUGCUCGGAAUCACUGGGCGUAAAGCGCACGUAGGCGGCUUUUUAAGUCAGGGGUGAAAUCCUGGAGCUCAACUCCAGAACUGCCUUUGAUACUGAGAAGCUUGAGUCCGGGAGAGGUGAGUGGAACUGCGAGUGUAGAGGUGAAAUUCGUAGAUAUUCGCAAGAACACCAGUGGCGAAGGCGGCUCACUGGCCCGGUACUGACGCUGAGAUGCGAAAGCGUGGGGAGCAAACAGGAUUAGAUACCCUGGUAGUCCACGCCUUAAACGAUGGAUGCUAGCCGUUGUCGGGUUUACUCGUCAGUGGCGCAGCUAACGCAUUAAGCAUCCCGCCUGGGGAGUACGGUCGCAAGAUUA
This 523-nucleotide ribosomal RNA is filed under the name uncultured bacterium. Its description in RNAcentral is "bacterial SSU rRNA". It matches the Rfam family "Bacterial small subunit ribosomal RNA", at positions 355 to 896 of the family's 1533-position model. The record is from RNAcentral.